This is a long non-coding RNA of Symphalangus syndactylus (siamang), 556 nucleotides long. RefSeq lists it as uncharacterized. Lineage: Eukaryota; Metazoa; Chordata; Mammalia; Primates; Hylobatidae. The record is from RefSeq and is a predicted model, not a curated record.
CCGAGUCUGGUCAUGAGAGAAAGUAUCAGGCAAAUCCCAACUAAGCAAGAUUCUACAAAAUGCUGACCAAUGCUCCCCCAAACUGUCAAGGUCAUCUAAAUCAAGGAAAGUCUAAGGAACUGUCACAGCCAAGAGGAGAAAAGGAGACAUGAUGACUAAAUAGAAUGUGGAAUUUUGAAAGGGAUUAAGGAAUAGAACAUUGUCUUAAAAGGAAGAAAAUCUAAAAAACAUUAUGAACUUGAAUUAAUAAUAAUUUGUCAAUAUUGGCCACUGCUUCUUAACAUCAACACAAGACAAGAUAGACCAUUUACAGAGAUAUCUGAGGCACUAAGAUACCAACUCAUGUAUGAUCCUUCCUCUGACCUUCUCUAUGCCCCAGGUGUCGACCACAGCGGACUGAACCGCCCAGGUUCCCUUCUUGGCUGGCUUCUAGUUGAGAUGGCUAAUGAAAAGCACUAGCAGGAGAUCAAAAGGCAGAAGGAGUGAGAUCCUGUGUUGUGGUGUUUUUCUCUCACUUCCUCAUCGCUUUGGUGCUGUGUCUCUUGCAAGAGCUGUG